UACAGAGGGGGCGAGCGUUGUUCGGAAUUACUGGGCGUAAAGGGCGCGUAGGCGGCCCGCUAAGUCGAACGUGAAAUCCCCAGGCUCAACCUGGGAACUGCGUCCGAUACUGGCAGGCUUGAAUCCGGGAGAGGGAUGUGGAAUUCCAGGUGUAGCGGUGAAAUGCGUAGAUAUCUGGAGGAACACCGGUGGCGAAGGCGGCAUCCUGGACCGGUAUUGACGCUGAGGCGCGAAAGCGAGGGGAGCAAACAGG
Molecule: ribosomal RNA, 253 nt
Filed under: uncultured bacterium
Lineage: Bacteria
Description: partial 16S ribosomal RNA
Rfam family: Bacterial small subunit ribosomal RNA
Source: RNAcentral